This is a non-coding RNA of Acanthosepion pharaonis, 97 nucleotides long. The record is from the annotation of a GenBank genome assembly. Lineage: Eukaryota; Metazoa; Mollusca; Cephalopoda; Sepiida; Sepiidae.
UUGACACACCAGUUCUCAUACGAUCACCGAAGUUAAGCAAUGUCGAACCUGGUGAGUAUCUAGAUGAGUGACCUCUUGGAAAUGCCAGAUGCUGUAA